RNAcentral lists this long non-coding RNA (280 nucleotides) under Homo sapiens (human). Its description in RNAcentral is "HSALNT0402754". The record is from RNAcentral. Lineage: Eukaryota; Metazoa; Chordata; Mammalia; Primates; Hominidae.
AGUGACUUGCUAAAACUGGAACCCAAAACAAUGGGAGUGAUGUGCUAAAACCGGAAAUGAAAACAAUGGGAGUGAUGUGCUAAAACCGGAACCCAAAACAAUGGUAACUAAGAGUGAUGCUAAGGCCCUACAUUUUGGUCACACUCUCAACUAAGUGAGAACUUGACUGAAAAGGAGGACUUUUUUUUUCUAAUACAGAGUCUUGGUCUGUCCCCCAGAGUGGAGUGCAGUGGCACAAUCUUGGCUCACUGCAAGCUCUGCCUCCCAGGUUCAGGCCAUU